ACAGGAUGUCAACAUGCCUUACUGAAGGCAACACCCUUCUCUUAAUGCGGUUACUUUCCCGCCAGUGCUUCUCAAGACCCAAAAAAAUUUCUACUCUUGCAAAAUCCACAAAGCUCAACCAGCAAUGCUGCAUCUCUCUUCUUCGACACUGCAAAACAAUGAACCAGCUUAAACAAAUCCAGGCCCAGAUUUUCCGGGGCGGCCUCCAUCAAAGCACAGACACUCUUAAGAAGCUCAUGGUCUUUUGUGCAGACCCAUCUAAUGGAAACUUGGUUCAUGCUGAAAGAAUCUUCAAUUAUAUUCAAAACCCAGGUUUAUUUUUUUAUAAUAUUAUGAUUAAAGCCUUUGCAAAGAAGGGUUUCUUUAGAAAAUGUUUAAUGUUGUUCAAUAAAUUGAGGGAGGAUGGUCUGUGGCCUGAUAAUUUUACUUACCCUUUUGUUUUGAAGGCGAUUGGGUGCUUAGGAAAUGUUUUAGAAGCUGAAAAACUUCAUGGAUUUGUGAUGAAAACCGGGCUUGAAUCUGAUACUUAUGUGUGUAACUCACUCAUUGAUAUGUAUGCUGAAUUGGGUCAAGUGGAUGUUAUGAGGAAGUUGUUUGAUGAAAUGCCUGAGAGAGAUGUGGUUUCUUGGAAUGUGUUGAUUUCCGGGUAUGUUAAGCGUAGAAGAUUUGAGGAUGCUAUUGAUGUUUUUUGUUGUAUGAGAGAAGAGAGUUAUUUGAGGCCUAAUGAGCCUACGGUGGUGAGCACUCUUUCAGCUUGUGCGGCAUUGAAAUGCUUGGAACUCGGCAAGGAAAUUCAUUGUUAUGUAAGGGAUAGACUUGAACUCACUUCUAUUAUUGGCAGUGCAUUAUUGGACAUGUACUGUAAGUGUGGUUGUUUGAGUGUAGCCCGAAAAAUAUUUGACGAGAUGCCUCAUAAAAAUGUUAUUUGUUGGACUAGUAUGGUGUCAGGUUAUGUAAACUACGGUGAGCUGGAUAAGGCUAGAGAGUUGUUUGAGAGGAGUCCAGUUAGGGACGUUGUUCUUUGGACGGCGAUGAUUAAUGGGUAUGUGCAGUUUAAUCAUUUUGACGAGGCUGUGGCCCUGUUUCAAGAAAUGCAAAUCCAAAGGGUUAAGCCAGAUAAGUUUGUACUGGUUGCUCUUCUCACAGGUUGUGCUCAAAUGGGAGCUCUUGAGCAGGGGACUUGGAUUCAUGGAUACAUAGACGAGAAAGGAAUUCCAGUUGAUGCAGUUGUUGGAACUUCUCUUAUAGAAAUGUAUUCCAAAUGUGGGUGCAUUGAAAAAGCUUUGAGGAUUUUCUGUGGGUUGAGAGAAAAAGAUACAGCUACAUGGACUUCAAUGAUAUGUGGGCUUGCUAUGAAUGGGAAAACAAGCAAGGCACUUGAAUUGUUCUCAAAAAUGAAACAAGUCGAGGCCAUACCUGAUGAAGUUACCUUCAUUGGUGUUUUAAGUGCAUGCAGCCAUGGAGGACUGGUCAAAGAAGGCCGUGAGUUCUUUAAUUCCAUGACAAGUAUUUAUAAUAUUGAGCCUAAGUUAGAGCACUACGGGUGUCUGAUUGACUUACUUGGUCGAGCUGGACAAUUGGAUGAAGCAGAAGAGUUGAUAAAAAAAAUAGUGAACGCAAAUAAUGAGAUCAUAGUUCCGCUUUAUGGUUCUUUGCUCAGUGCUUGCAGAAUCUAUAAAAAUGUUCAAAUGGGUGAGCGGGUGGCUGAACAGCUUGUGAAAAUUGAGUCAAGGGACUCUAGUGUUCACACGCUUCUCGCAAAUAUCUAUGCCUCUGCUGGUAGAUGGGUGGAUGUAAACAGGGUGAGACGUGAAAUGAAAGAUCUUGGAGUAAAAAAGGUACCUGGUUGUAGCUCAAUUGAGGUUGAUGGCAUAGUCCAUGAGUUUAUUGUUGGGAAUCCAUCUUGUUCAGAGAUGAGAGAAAUAUACUCCAUGUUGGAUAGGAUGGUGAAACCAUUAUUCAAUUCAGAAGAGAAUGAAAUGGAAAGAGGAGAAACAGGUGCGAUGAACAGUUGCUGAAUUAAGAUUUGAACGAAAUGGUUAAACCAUUUCUGAUUUUUUCUUUUUCUUUUUAAUUUAUUUCUUUAUAUUUAUUUCUUUUUUUAUUGUUUCUUGAAUCAUUAGUGCAUGGGGAAUAAGGGCUUGAAGCAUGGAAGGCAAACCAUUAUGAACUGGCUAUUUGAAGAUGAAUAUGCUUUUAAAGUUGUUGCUACAAAUCUUGCUCAAGAUUAUUGGAGAAAACGAGGUCGUUUAUAGCUCUUGGUACAUUCUAUAUCCGUCUUGUGAAGUGUGGAAUAUGUGGUUUAUGAAUCAAUAUAUUAUGGCCUGCAACUCUCAUGGGAUUCUUCUUGGACCUUGCUUGGCUACUUUGAUUCUGAUUGGGCUGGCUAUCUCGACACUUGACAGUUGUUGAACUGGAUUUGUUGUUUAUCUUGGCUGUAAUUUGAUUUCAUGGUGCUCUCAAAUGCAAACUACUGUUGCCCAUUCUAGUGCUGAGGCCAAGUACCAUGCUCUUGCCUACGUUGUUGCGGAACUCUUUUGGAUGCUUAAACUUUUCAGACAACUCCAAAUCAGUCUUUCUUCUCCUCCCAGACUUUUAUGCGACAAAAACAAUGCUAUUUUCAUUGCUUCCAACUCGAUGUCCAAAUCUCGCUCCAAAAAUAUUGAUAUUGACUAUCAUUUUAUUCGGGAACCUGUUGCUCAAAGGGUUAUUGGUCUCAGCUUUGUCACCUCACACCUCCAGCUGGUUAAUGUUUUCACAAAAGGGAUGGCCAGAUUACAGUUUUUAUUGGAUCGUGGCAAGUUGUGCCUUUUCCACCACGCCAACUUUGAGGGGGAUAUUAGAGGAAAAUCAGAUUCUUCUGAUAAUAACCAAGAUAUCAGUGAUUCUCCAUGAUUGUAGCUAUUUUGUUUAUCUCUGUAUUUUCUGUCUAUAAAUGAAUAUUUCCUCACACGGCACAUUUCCUUUACACAGAACCUAGGGAGUUCCUUUUCCAUUUUGCUAUUGUAAAUACAAGCUUUGCGAGAUUUUCCCGGGCGUUGACAUUAUACCAUCCUUUCUUACAGCUUUUUGGAGUACCAAACAUUGUAAUCAAUGAUACACUUGAUGGUUGUGGUAAAUAUAAACUAUUGAUAGCUGCAUUGUUCUGCCGUUGUCAAGCAUGUGCUGAGGGAGGAUUGUCUUGGCCAGAAUUAUUUCAUCUCCACAGUUUCUUCGUUUUUAUUCAUGCCCAGUUAUUUGUUCUUGUGGGUAGCUUGCCUAGUCUUGUCAUGAGAAAAAGCUCUUGAUUGCAGCGGUUGGAUUUUGCUUUGCAAAGCUGCAUAAACGAUACUUGAAAAGAAGGCGAUGCAUUUGCUUAUUUCCGGCGCGAGCUAUCUCGUUGGAGAUUGGCUUCCGGAACUUUGUGGAAAAAGUAUCAUUCGACUUUUCUAGCAACCUAAACGUGUGGAGACCACCGCUCUCUUUAACUGUCUCACCCUCUUCCACUCCCAAACCAAAUCACAGCCUCUGUCCAGUUCCAGUUUCCGUUGUUGAUAAGGAUUAAAAUCCGCCCAUCGAAGUUUUUUCACUUUCCUUUCUGUUCAUCUUUAACUCAUCAAGAAGCCAAACGUACUAAAAAAA
Populus euphratica (Euphrates poplar) is the source of this 3621-nucleotide RNA transcript. It is a transcript of the gene named Pentatricopeptide repeat (PPR-like) superfamily protein, with no coding region annotated. The transcript is spliced from 3 exons. NCBI's taxonomy places the organism in Eukaryota, Viridiplantae, Streptophyta, Magnoliopsida, Malpighiales, Salicaceae. The record is from RefSeq and is a predicted model, not a curated record.